Varanus komodoensis (Komodo dragon) is the source of this 1099-nucleotide long non-coding RNA. RefSeq lists it as uncharacterized. The record is from RefSeq and is a predicted model, not a curated record. Lineage: Eukaryota; Metazoa; Chordata; Lepidosauria; Squamata; Varanidae. The transcript is spliced from 3 exons.
GAAGAGAAGAGCUGGCGGGCGGACGAUCGAGCGGCGCAGGGUUCACUCCCGAAGCUGGGGGCGGCCUGGAAAGGGUUAACCGCGGCAGCCCCAGCUCCUCUUCGGUGCUCCCCGCAGAGCCUGUUGUGGCCUUUGAGGAGACGCUGCGAAUGCAUCCAGCACCAGCCCCCAAUCUCGCGGCGGCUGUUGUUUGCUGCCUGUGCGGCAGGCGCUGAGCGGAGCGCGGCAGGCUUCUCGCAGGCUGCCUGCGAAGCGGCGUCCGGGAACCGACGGAGGGAGCGAGCGAGCCCGCCACCCUCUGCCCCCGCCCCUCUCCGGGCUCCUCAGGUGCUGCGCUUGGGCUCGCCCUGGAAGCCUUGCAGACAACAGGUUUGUGUCAAGUUGGCGCUGGAGUGUGCAGCUGAUGGCAAAAUUGGCUGGAAUCAGUCCGGGGAAGCAAAGAAAGAAACAGUGAUUCAUGCUUGGAGGGGCUCCAGAUGAGGGAGAAUAACUGCCAUGCGCAACAGGCUUGGAAAUAAAUGGAAAAGUGAGGAAAUGAAGGAACAUAGUAAUUUAAAUCAUACCUCGUAGAAUCAUAGAGUGGUGGACUUGGAAAGGACCUGUAAGGACAUGCAAGUAUAGCUAUUAGAAGAAUAUUUCCUGGAGUUCUGGUAGGUGAUGGACAGUCUUCACACACUUAGUUCUUGUACAUUAAUGGGCUUAAUAUUUUAGAGUGAGAAGAAUGAAAUGCCUUUCUGCAAGAGUUGUGUAUCUGCAAUACACUGUUUGGGCAGCAUAUGCGCCUGAAGUCAUGCUUACACUAAUGCCUUUAGGAAGAGAAUGUGCUUUCUGUUCUUUGCAGGUGUUUGUUCUGCUGGCGUUCAGCUGGGCUAAACUGCAAGUUUAAGAAUCUGCCAUCAAUUAAUAGCCUUAUAUGAUAGUCUCCCUCCCUGUCCCAAACCUGGUGCCUCAUAUAUUUGUUGGACUACAGCUUGCAUCAUUCCAGUGGUAUGACCCUGCGCUGACUGGGGAUACUGGGAGUUGUAGACCAACACAUCUGGUAUGUUCCCAUGUUGAGAAGGCUAUUGAAAAGUUUUAGGAAUAUGGUCCUUCUAAAUAU